RNAcentral lists this ribosomal RNA (468 nucleotides) under uncultured bacterium. RNAcentral describes it as "partial 16S ribosomal RNA". It matches the Rfam family "Bacterial small subunit ribosomal RNA", at positions 28 to 507 of the family's 1533-position model. The record is from RNAcentral.
GACGAACGCUGGCGGCGUGCUUAACACAUGCAAGUCGAACGGAAAGGCCCUGCUUUUGUGGGGUGCUCGAGUGGCGAACGGGUGAGUAACACGUGAGUAACCUGCCCUUGACUUUGGGAUAACUUCAGGAAACUGGGGCUAAUACCGGAUAGGAGCUCCUGCUGCAUGGUGGGGGUUGGAAAGCUUCGGCGGAUGGGGAUGGACUCGCGGCUUAUCAGCUUGUUGGUGGGGUAGUGGCUUACCAAGGCUUUGACGGGUAGCCGGCCUGAGAGGGUGACCGGCCACAUUGGGACUGAGAGACGGCCCAGACGCCUACGGUGGGCAGCAGUGGGGAGUAUUGCACAAUGGGCGGAAGCCUGAUGCAGCAACGCCGCGUGCGGAAUGACGGCCUUCGGGUUGUAAACCGCUUUCACCUGUGACGAUGCGUGAGUGACGGUAAUGGGUAAAGAAGCACCGGCUAACUACGUG